AACACACAUUUUUCUGAUCACACUUAAAUACUUUUGUAACAGAGUAUUGUUACAGUAUGCUAAAAGAAAGUACUUUUACUUGAGUAAAUGAUCUGAACGCCUCCUCCUCUCAUUAUACCAGAUCGAAAGGCCUCAGUGGGUGAACAUUGCUGCUAUCUAGUGGACAGAAGAGUGAACAACACCUCUUGUAAUAAUUACCCUGCUGAACUCUCAGAAUUAGAUUUUGUUUGUUAGAUUGUGUGCAUCAAAGAUGAUUUAAAAGCACUUCCUUUUCCAUCUGUUUAUUUGCCAGUUCUCCCAUAAGCCACUGCGUGUGUGCCGUUCCCAUGGCAACCAGUCACCACAGUGAUUCAACAGUGAGGAGACACAGGAAAAACAUGACAGAUUUCACGGGAAGGAAGUCUGACUGGAUACUGAGGACAUACUGACAGACAUCGACCUCCUAUCUCUGGUAAACACAGACCCGAGUGCUGCUUCCUUCCUCAAACUGGAUGAGACGUUUCACACGUGGACGACAUGAAGAAGAAAAAACAGAGGACAAAAAAGACCAACAAAAAGAAUAAAGAGCGUGAAAAGGUGUCCUUGGAUGAAACCUGCCGGGCCUUCAGGUCCAACGGGCCGGAGUUUGAGCUCUUCCUGGCGGAGAUGACUCGGUGGUUUUCGGACCGUCAGCAGCAGCUGGACGAACUGUUCAGACACGAGGACGCAGACAGAAGUGGAUCAGUCCACAUGAAGGACUUCGAGCUCGGUCUGAUGAGUCUGAACGUCCCCUGUCGGCACUUUCAGCUCCACGUUCUGACUCAGCUGCUGAAAACCUCCAACAACACCAUCAGUUAUCGAGACCUGAGCAGACGUGUUCAGAGUCUGAGAGCGAGUGAAGGCACAGGGAUCAAUACUCGGAUAUCAGGUGAUCAACAUCAGCUGUUGGACAGGUUCGUCCGUCUGCGUGUCAGACUGAUCCCCUUCGACUUCGCGGCGGCACAUCCGGGAAACUUUGAGGUGGUUUUGUUGACCAGCAGCAGAGUUGUCAGGCUGAUCCGGAUCAUCCAGGACCGGGUCGGGAUCCAGACCUAUAGACUGGAGGUUUUCAGGAGCAGAGUGCCCAGAGAGGAGGCCCGUCUGACCCCGGAGAGCUCCCUGGAGGAGUGUGGCUUCAGAGGGGGACCAGAGGAAACUCCUCCAGAGGACACGGUGUACUACGACUACACACUCCUGUUUACAGACUGUCCCGUUCUGAACUGUGACCACUACUUCAGGUCCACAUCCUGA
This 1269-nucleotide long non-coding RNA is filed under the name Sparus aurata (gilthead seabream). RNAcentral describes it as "lncRNA (ENSSAUG00010017661.1)". Lineage: Eukaryota; Metazoa; Chordata; Actinopteri; Spariformes; Sparidae. The record is from RNAcentral.